This 1708-nucleotide long non-coding RNA is filed under the name Mytilus galloprovincialis (Mediterranean mussel). Lineage: Eukaryota; Metazoa; Mollusca; Bivalvia; Mytilida; Mytilidae. The record is from RNAcentral.
UUUUUAACUCAUUGGUGACCUAUAUAUUUUUUAAUAUUAUUUUCAAAUAAGCUGUACUUAAACUAAACAGUUGUAAAAUUUUGGCAAUUUCUGUAAUUGUUAUAUCGAUAUUAACUUUAUUUCUCCUAUUAUUCAACAGAAAAAAAGUACCUUACCAAAAUGCAUGUUUCUUUCGAAGGCAGAUUGUGAGCUUAAAUGAACGUUGACCCCAUUUUUUAUUUUAUUUUUCUAUUAAGUAUAUGAUAAAGUUCAUUUAUAGAAAAAAAUUAUGAAAUCUUAUAUUUAAAAAAAAAAUCAAUUUCUGAACUCCCUUACAAUUGUAAGUGGAUAUAUAUGUUUGCCAAAAAAAUAAUUGAUAUUAAAAAAAUCACUUUCAGUCAGGGGUUAGACUUUUACAAGUUAUGUUUAUUUCAUUGAAGAUUCAAGUAAUAUUUACCCAUAUGUACUUAGAAAGGUACAUUCAAUGAAAUUUGUAUGAUUUUAAUUUUCAUUUUUUGAAUUAUCUCCCCUUAUUUUUCUCCAAAAAAUUCUUAUACAUUUAUCCCCUGAAAUUCGCUUGUUGGCUUAAAUACUAAGAAAGAACAAAGAAAUCUAUUGACACUGAUGUUAAAUAACGGUGCAUGUAUUCAAAAAUUGCUCUCUUGAGGCUUGUAAAUGAGGAGUCUUUUGCAUUGUCCAAGAAAUUAUACAUUAAUGAAUAGUAAAGAAAACUUAUAAUGGAGGACGAAUAAAUACUCAAUCGUGCAAUGUACUGUAGUUCAGAGAAUUCAACAUGUUUAAGAAAAGAAGAAAAUAUGAUUUUUUUUACUUAUAAAUAAAAUAUGUAUGUCUAAGGGAUAUAACUCUAUCUUCAAAAAUAAAUAACAUGUACAAGAUGUAUAAACAUGAUAAAAAAUUGGAAAAAAAAAUAUAAAACUGUUUUUUUUUAACUUUUUAAUUAUAUGAUGUUCUAAUGAAUUAAAAUUUAUCCCAGUUGAUAAAAUACUGUAAAUUUUUAAAUUCUUGUGAGACUUUUUUCAUGCAAAAAAUGCAAAUGGGUAAGCAUGGUAAGCAUGGAAAGUAUUGCAAUAGAAAGAGCUCCCUUUUUAAUAUUUGAUACAUGUAUCUUUUUGUUUAUUACCUUAAAUCACAAAUAGACUGUUGUUGGUCAUAUUGUCAAUGUAAUUAAGAUUGCUCUAUCUUGGUAUCUUAUAUCUUAUAACUGUUUUAAAUUUAGUAUACAUUUUACCCUGUUUAUUUACAUAUGAUAAAUUAGCAGGGGUGUAUCCAGCCAUUUCUAAAAGGGGUUCCUAAUCCAGGAUAAAAGUUCCAACCAUAUGUCACCAUUAAAAUGCACUGCUCGUCCAAAAAAAAUGGGAGGGGGGUUCUGGGGGUUUCCUGUUGGAUCUGCCACUAAUCAGUGAAUAUAUGAUAUAUCUUUAUUGUUGUGUUUUUUAUGUCUUUCAAAAAAAAUUGCCCUUUUAAUUCAUGAUAAUAAUUACCUGUUAUUUUAUGUCAUUUUAGCAUCACAAUGUUUGUUAUGUAUGGUUGGAUAUCAGGACUAUGCAGGAUGCUAUUAUUCAAUCAGUUGUUAGAUUUUCUUCCUUCCACUUGUCAAACCUUUACAUUUUAAGUGUCUGUUUGUGUUUCAAUCAAUUGUAAUAAUUUAGAUAUUUCUUAAUAUUACUUGUAUAUAUUGCUUAUUUGAUCCUAAUGAUAUCGCAAAAAA